GUGUAUUUAGAAUUAUCUUAAUUUUUUGUAUGAGAAUAAUGUUCCUUGUUUUCCGUACGAACAUAUUGAAUUAAAACAAUUCUUAAUAUGACAAAAAGGAAAACAUAUGGCCAGGAAUAUCUGACAAGGAUCUCAAUUAAGGACUAGGUCCUAACAACCACUUAACCUUUUAUAUAAUAUGGUACAUAGACUCAGCUCUGUAAUUCUUUUCAAAGCAGAACAAAAUGCAUUGUACAAUGAAAGUUCCAACCAUGUACUUGGG
RNAcentral lists this long non-coding RNA (262 nucleotides) under Mytilus galloprovincialis (Mediterranean mussel). Lineage: Eukaryota; Metazoa; Mollusca; Bivalvia; Mytilida; Mytilidae. The record is from RNAcentral.